RNAcentral lists this ribosomal RNA (725 nucleotides) under bacterium. RNAcentral describes it as "bacterial SSU rRNA". It matches the Rfam family "Bacterial small subunit ribosomal RNA", at positions 72 to 813 of the family's 1533-position model. The record is from RNAcentral.
AAGGCCCUUCGGGGUACACGAGCGGCGAACGGGUGAGUAACACGUGGGUAACCUGCCCUGUACUCUGGGAUAAGCCUUGGAAACGAGGUCUAAUACCGGAUACGACCAUUGGAUGCAUGUCCGGUGGUGGAAAGUUCCGGCGGUAUGGGAUGGACCCGCGGCCUAUCAGCUUGUUGGUGGGGUAAUGGCCUACCAAGGCGACGACGGGUAGCCGGCCUGAGAGGGUGACCGGCCACACUGGGACUGAGACACGGCCCAGACUCCUACGGGAGGCAGCAGUGGGGAAUAUUGCACAAUGGGCGAAAGCCUGAUGCAGCGACGCCGCGUGAGGGAUGACGGCCUUCGGGUUGUAAACCUCUUUCAGCAGGGACGAAGCGCGAGUGACGGUACCUGCAGAAGAAGCACCGGCUAACUACGUGCCAGCAGCCGCGGUAAUACGUAGGGUGCGAGCGUUGUCCGGAAUUAUUGGGCGUAAAGAGCUCGUAGGCGGUUUGUCGCGUCGGCCGUGAAAACUUGGGGCUUAACUCCAAGCUUGCGGUCGAUACGGGCAGACUUGAGUUCGGCAGGGGAGACUGGAAUUCCUGGUGUAGCGGUGAAAUGCGCAGAUAUCAGGAGGAACACCGGUGGCGAAGGCGGGUCUCUGGGCCGACACUGACGCUGAGGAGCGAAAGCGUGGGGAGCGAACAGGAUUAGAUACCCUGGUAGUCCACGCCGUAAACGGUGGG